Molecule: long non-coding RNA, 2647 nt
Organism: Lynx canadensis (Canada lynx)
Lineage: Eukaryota; Metazoa; Chordata; Mammalia; Carnivora; Felidae
Source: Ensembl
AGGGAGGGUGUUGAAAGUAUGUUGGCCCGACAGUUGUCAACACGGACCAAUCUUCGUGACUGCCAGGCACAUGAGCUUUAAGUUCCCAGUAGUACCCUGGUAGUUUUCCAUGAAUGAAUUGGAAGCCUUGGCUUUACAUUAUCUAGGUCAGAAUGAAGAACUGGGAACAAUUUUUGUCUGUUUUUGGCAUUUUCAAAUGCCAAUGGUGGUUCAAACCCAACACUGGGUUGAGAGGGGAAUAGUGGUUUUUGCUGAGGUGGAACAUUAACAUCAAGUUUUUCAGAUGAUUAUUGAAAUAAAAGUUUUGUAUUAAACUUCAGCUUCCUUUUGUGUUUAUUUCCUGGUGUGGAGUUUUGAUGGGACUGAGGUGUGUGUAUGCCUACGACAGGAAGGAGUCCAAAUGGUAAACUCAGUGGAUAUAGAAUGACAUUUCCAUCCAAGAAGGUGGAGCUGCCCAAUGUCCAUCAUCCAGGCCAUCAACCAAGACUUAGUCAUCUCUCUGUCCCUGGCACACACUGUGGCACAUCCAGGCUCUCUGUAAGGACUGAUGGGUUGAAUAAAAGACUGAACAAGAGAUAAGUUGGCAAUAGACUGAGAAGGGUUUUGAGUAUUGAUUUAAGACAUUUGGAUUUUAUCUUUUAGAUCACAGGUGUCCAACAGCCUUAAAGCUGAGAAGUGAUAGGAUGAAGUUCUCUUUCAAAUGUGUCAUCUCUUUGGGAGAAAUCUCAUCAUCAAAUAUUGUUUUAAUUAUCACCUCAAAAUAGGUCAUUGCGUUUGAGCCUUCCUCCUGAGCUCCAGUCUCACAUUGCCAGCUUUUUUCUGGGUCUCUGUGGGCUCAAAUUCAGCAUGUCCAGACCAGCCCUCAUUAUCCUUUCCUUCCCCCAAAGUCACUCUUCCUAUAUUAUCAAGUUCACAGGCAUCCAAACUAGACAACUUGAAUUAAUGCCAAACACUUCCACACCCCCACAGCCAAUAAAUCAUUAAGUUCUAUCAACUCCAUCUCUUGAACUUUAUCUCAAAUUCCUAGUCUUCCUUCUCUAACUCCAGUCCAUCCUCCACCCUGCUGCUCAUCUUCUAAGCCUAAAAACUAGAUCUGAUCAUGCUGCUGUCUUGUUAAAACAGUAACAGAAAAGGUCUACAACUCUGCAAUGGUUCUUCAUUGCUUACAAGGUCAAGAUCUUUAAGAUCUACCUACAAAGAUCUACCUUUUCUCCCUAUUCAUUCUUUCAUUCAUUCAAUACAUGUGUAUUGAAUGCCUCCCGUGUAUAUGGUAUUGUGCUCAUUGACUUUAUAUACUAGUGAGGGAGAUGCCACACGCAUAUAUAGAUAGGCACUUGGACUGCCUCGUGUUGUAGGCAGUAAGGGAAGUACCCUAAGGGAAGAUGCUACAGGUUGAUGGUGGCAUCCUCACUUCUUUGCUUUAGUAUAAAAGUUUUUAUACUAAAUAGUUUUUGUUUUUAUACUAUACUAUAACAUUGUUGGUAUUUGUAUACCUUUUUUAAAAUAAGUGUUUAGGGGCGCCUGGGUGGCGCAGUCGGUUAAGCGUCCGACUUCAGCCAGGUCAUGAUCUCGCGGUCCGUGGGUUCGAGCCCCGCGUCGGGCUCUGGGCUGAUGGCUCAGAGCCUGGAGCCUGUUUCCGAUUCUGUGUCUCCCUCUCUCUCUGCCCCUCCCCCGUUCAUGCUCUGUCUCUCUCUGUCCCAAAAAUAAAUAAACAUUGAAAAAAAAAUUAAAAAAAAAUAAAUAAAUAAAAUAAGUGUUUAUUCAUUUUUGAGAGAGAGAGAGAGAGAGAGAGCGCGAGCGAGAGAGAGACCAGGGGAGGGGUGGAGAGAGGGGGACAGAGUAUCCGAACUAGGCUCUGUGCUGACAGCAGUGAGCCACCCAGGCGCCCCUGUAUUUGUACACCUUUUGAGUGAAUUUGCAGAUUAUAUUAUGUAGUUUUAAAUUAAUCUUCACCAAGAAGGCAAAUGAUUUUUUAAAAAUUCUCAAAAGAAACUACAAAUUAAAGAUAAUACUUAAUUUUAAGCCUAAGGGAGGCUUACGCCUAGUAUGAGCCUUAAACAGCCUUAAACUUAAAACAGUAACUAUCUACAUCUGACAAGAAUUGGGCCCCAAAUUUAAAACUGUAGUAAAGAACAUUUGAAACAGUGAUUUAUAUUCUCCAUUUUUAAUGAUGAGCUACUCCUCAAGACUUGAAGUAUUAGCUGAUAAUAGUAUUAAAAGUCAUCAUGAUAGGGGUGCCUGGAGCUCAGUCAGUUAAGCAUCUGACUCUUGAUUUAGACUCAGGUCAUGAUCUUACGGUUCAUGGGUUCGAGCCCCCCUUGGGGCUCUGUGCUGACAGCUCAGAGCCUGCUUGGGAUUUUCUCUCCCUCUCUCUCUGCCCCUCUCCAGCUCUCUUCCUCUCUCUCUCUCAAAAUAAAUAAAUAAACAUAAAUCCAUCGUGAUUAGCAAUAUCUUUUUUUUUUUUUUGGCAACAUACAAGUAGAGCCUGCUGUGACUAUAAUUUUUGUGUUUAUAGGAUGAUGGUUCACAAACAUUCCCAAGUAGCGUAUCAUGCUUUUAUUAGCUCUCACGAUCUUCCCCACUUUCCCAGAGAAAGUAAAGCACCCAGCCAAACAUAAAUAAAUUUUUCAGUUUCAUAUUGUUAGAC